This 477-nucleotide ribosomal RNA is filed under the name uncultured bacterium. RNAcentral describes it as "partial 16S ribosomal RNA". It matches the Rfam family "Bacterial small subunit ribosomal RNA", at positions 28 to 507 of the family's 1533-position model. The record is from RNAcentral.
GAUGAACGCUAGCGGCAGGCCUAACACAUGCAAGUCGAGGGAGAAGCCCUUUCGGGGGCAGAAACCGGCGCACGGGUGCGUAACGCGUAUGCAACCUACCUUUCACAGGGGGAUAGCCCGAAGAAAUUUGGAUUAAUACCCCAUAAUAUUAUUGGAUGCAUCAUUUGAUAAUUAAAACUGCGGUGGUGAAAGAUGGGCAUGCGUCCUAUUAGCUAGUUGGAGUGGUAACGGCACCCCAAGGCUACGAUAGGUAGGGGUCCUGAGAGGGAGAUCCCCCACACUGGUACUGAGACAGGGACCAGACUCCUACGGGAGGCAGCAGUGAGGAAUAUUGGUCAAUGGUCGGAAGACUGAACCAGCCAUGCCGCGUGCAGGAAGAAUGCCUUAUGGGUUGUAAACUGCUUUUAUAUGGGAAGAAUAAGGCGUACGUGUACGUUGAUGACGGUACCAUAUGAAUAAGCAUCGGCUAACUCCGUG